This 395-nucleotide ribosomal RNA is filed under the name bacterium. Its description in RNAcentral is "bacterial SSU rRNA". It matches the Rfam family "Bacterial small subunit ribosomal RNA", at positions 991 to 1385 of the family's 1533-position model. The record is from RNAcentral.
UCUUGCACUCUAGAGAUGGAUUGUCGCCUUCGGGAGCUUACGUGAGGGGGUGGUGGGUGGCCUCCCUCGUGGUCUGAGAUGUUUGGGAAGUCCCCGCCGAGCGCAACCCUUUUCCUUAUUUGCCCCGGUUAAUGCCGGGAACUUUAAGGAUACUGCCCAGUGACAAACUGGAGGAAGGCGGGGACGACGUCAAGUCAUCAUGGCCCUUACGGCCAGGGCUACACACGUGCUACAAUGGACGGUACAAAGGGGUUGCUACCUAGCGAUAGGAUGCUAUCUAUAAAGUUGAUCUCAGUUCCGGAUUGGAGUCUGCAACUCGACUCCAUGAAGUCGGAUCGCUAGUAAUCGCGAUCAAAUGCCCCGGUGAAUACGUUCCCGGCCUUGUAACCCAGAAA